Molecule: ribosomal RNA, 442 nt
Filed under: uncultured bacterium
Lineage: Bacteria
Description: partial 16S ribosomal RNA
Rfam family: Bacterial small subunit ribosomal RNA
Source: RNAcentral
CCUACGGGAGGCAGCAGUGGGGAAUAUUGGGCAAUGGGCGCAAGCCUGACCCAGCAACGCCGCGUGAAGGAAGAAGGCUUUCGGGUUGUAAACUUCUUUUCAGAGGGAAGAGCAGAAGACGGUACCUCUUGAAUAAGCCACGGCUAACUACGUGCCAGCAGCCGCGGUAAUACGUAGGUGGCAAGCGUUGUCCGGAUUUACUGGGUGUAAAGGGCGUGCAGCCGGGAAGACAAGUCAGAUGUGAAAGCCCGCGGCUCAACCGCGGAACUGCAUUUGAAACUGUUUUUCUUGAGUACCGGAGAGGUCAUCGGAAUGCCUGGUGUAGCGGUGAAAUGCGUAGAUAUAAGGAAGAACACCAGUGGCGAAGGCGGAUGACUGGACGGCAACUGACGGUGAGGCGCGAAAGCGUGGGGAGCAAACAGGAUUAGAUACCCCAGUAGUU